GCAAGUCGAGCGGAAACGAUGGAGCUUGCUCCAGGCGUCGAGCGGCGGACGGGUGAGUAACGCGUAGGAAUCUACCCAUUAGUGGGGGAUAGCCCGGGGAAACCCGGAUUAAUACCGCAUACGCCCUACGGGGGAAAGGUGGCCUCUUCUUGAAAGCUACCGCUAUUGGAGGAGCCUGCGUUGGAUUAGCUAGUUGGUGGGGUAAUGGCCUACCAAGGCGACGAUCCAUAGCUGGUCUGAGAGGACGAUC
RNAcentral lists this ribosomal RNA (250 nucleotides) under uncultured bacterium. Its description in RNAcentral is "partial 16S ribosomal RNA". It matches the Rfam family "Bacterial small subunit ribosomal RNA", at positions 57 to 305 of the family's 1533-position model. The record is from RNAcentral.